UGGAAAGAGCCAGAUUUACUUAAAAUAAUUAUAAUUGACCUCUGAGGGGACGAAAAGGCGUGGGGGAGGCGAACGGGGAUUUAGGAUACCCCCCGGGUAGGUCCCACGCCGUAAAACGAUGGGAUACUAGCUGUUUCGGAUUUAUCUGAGUGGGUAAGCGAAAGUGAUAAGUAUCCCACCUGGGGAGUACGUUCGCAAGAAUGAAACUCAAAGGAAUUGACGGGGGCCCGCACAAGCGGUAGAGCAUAAGGUUUAAUUUGAUGAUACGCGAGGAACCUUACCAGGUUUUAAAUGUAGUUUGCAUUAGGUAGAGAUACUUAUUUCUUCGGACUAUCUACAAGGUGCUGCAUGGUUGUGGUCAGCUCGUGCCGUGAGGUGUCAGGUUAAGUCCUAUAACGAGCGCAACCCCUGUUGUUAGUUACCAGCAUGUAAAGAUGGGAACUCUAGCAAGACCCCCAGUGCAAACUGUGAGUAUUCUGGUUAUACCGUCAAAUCAUCACGGCCAUUACGUCCUGGGCUACACCCGUGCACAAGGGUAGGGGGGGGGCAGCUAACUAAAGCGCCCAGGACGCAUCUAAAAGCGUUAACACUUUCUAUCGAGUCCGCAACUUUUUAAAAGAAGCUGCAAUUUGCUAAUAAUUGCAUUCCUUUCAGAUUCACCUU
RNAcentral lists this ribosomal RNA (663 nucleotides) under Tamlana sp. CZ11. RNAcentral describes it as "bacterial SSU rRNA". It matches the Rfam family "Bacterial small subunit ribosomal RNA", at positions 559 to 1365 of the family's 1533-position model. The record is from RNAcentral. Lineage: Bacteria; Pseudomonadati; Bacteroidota; Flavobacteriia; Flavobacteriales; Flavobacteriaceae.